UACGUAGGGGGCAAGCGUUGUCCGGAUUUAUUGGGCGUAAAGAGCGUGUAGGCGGCUAGGUAGGUCCGUUGUGAAAACUCGAGGCUCAACCUCGAGACGCCGGUGGAAACCAUCUAGCUAGAGUCCGGAAGAGGAGAGUGGAAUUCCUGGUGUAGCGGUGAAAUGCGCAGAUAUCAGGAAGAACACCCGUGGCGAAGGCGGCUCUCUGGGACGUUACUGACGCUGAGACGCGAAAGCGUGGGGAGCAAACAGG
RNAcentral lists this ribosomal RNA (253 nucleotides) under uncultured bacterium. Its description in RNAcentral is "partial 16S ribosomal RNA". It matches the Rfam family "Bacterial small subunit ribosomal RNA", at positions 524 to 776 of the family's 1533-position model. The record is from RNAcentral.